Molecule: unclassified non-coding RNA, 221 nt
Filed under: Hevea brasiliensis (rubber tree)
Lineage: Eukaryota; Viridiplantae; Streptophyta; Magnoliopsida; Malpighiales; Euphorbiaceae
Source: RNAcentral
GAUGAGAUUCUUAUUGAAGCCAGUAACUCUCUCACAAUAGCUCACAAAUAGCUCAACUAGCAGAGCCCAAGGUGGAUUUAGAAGCACCUAUACAAAGGCACCAACAUAGAGCACUAAAACACAAAGUAACUUUCAGGGUUGCACUUCCAUCUCCAAAGGUGAUGUCGGCGAGGAACCACCGACACAACACAACUUAGAGGAUUGCACUUCCCUCUCCAAAG